CCCCGCCCCGCGCCCGCGCUCACCCGCCCGUCUCCCCGCAGCUGGACAGCGCCAAGCUGAGCUCUGACCAGAACGACAAGGCGGCCAGUGCGGCUCGCGAGGAGCUGAAGGAGGCCCGCAUGCGCCUGGAGUCCCUCAGCUACCAGCUCUCCGGCCUCCAGAAGCAGGCCAGUGCCGCUGAAGAUCGCAUUCGGGAGCUGGAGGAGGCCAUGGCCGGGGAGCGGGACAAGUUCCGGAAGAUGCUGGACGCCAAGGAGCAGGAGAUGACGGAGAUGCGGGACGUGAUGCAGCAGCAGCUGGCCGAGUACCAGGAGCUGCUGGACGUGAAGCUGGCCCUGGACAUGGAGAUCAACGCCUACCGGAAGCUCCUGGAGGGCGAGGAGGAGAGGCUGAAGCUGUCCCCCAGCCCAUCCUCGCGCGUCACCGUCUCACGAGCCACCUCGAGCAGCAGCGGCAGCAUGUCCGCCACCGGGCGCCUGGGCCGCAGUAAGCGGAAGCGGCUGGAGGUGGAGGAGCCCUUGGGCAGCGGCCCAAGCGUCCUGGGCACGGGCACGGGUGGCAGCGGUGGCUUCCACCUGGCCCAGCAGGCCUCGGCCUCGGGCAGCGUCAGCAUCGAGGAGAUCGACCUGGAGGGCAAGUUUGUGCAGCUCAAGAACAACUCGGACAAGGAUCAGUCUCUGGGGA
This 684-nucleotide small RNA is filed under the name Pan troglodytes (chimpanzee). RNAcentral describes it as "retained intron". Lineage: Eukaryota; Metazoa; Chordata; Mammalia; Primates; Hominidae. The record is from RNAcentral.